CAACCAUCUCGUCCUCUGUCGUCCCCUUCUCCUUGUGCCCUCCAUCUUUCCCAACAUCAGGGUCUUUUCCAGGGAGUCUUCUCUUCUCAUGAGGUGGCCAAAGUCUUGGAGCCUCAGCUUCAGGAUCUGUCCUUCCAGAGAGCACUCAGGGCUGAUUUCCUUCAGAAUGGAGAGGUUUGAUCUUCUUGCAGUCCAUGGGACUCUCAAGAGUCUCCUCCAGCACCAGAAUUCAAAAGCAUCCAUUCUUCAGCGAUCAGCCUUCUUUAUGGUCCAGCUCUUACUUCCAUACAUCACUACUGGGAAAACCAUAGCUUUAACUAUACGGACCU
This 329-nucleotide long non-coding RNA is filed under the name Podarcis lilfordi (Lilford's wall lizard). The record is from RNAcentral. Lineage: Eukaryota; Metazoa; Chordata; Lepidosauria; Squamata; Lacertidae.